RNAcentral lists this long non-coding RNA (1210 nucleotides) under Homo sapiens (human). RNAcentral's name for it is "HIF1A stabilizing long noncoding RNA". The record is from RNAcentral. Lineage: Eukaryota; Metazoa; Chordata; Mammalia; Primates; Hominidae.
GUUAAACAAGUGCUUGAAGGCAGUAUGCUUGGUAAAAGUCAUCGCCAUUCUCUAAUCUUGAGUACCCAGGGACACGAUACACUGCGGAAGGCUGCAGGGACCUCUGCCCAGGAAAGCCAGGUGGUUUCCAAAAGGAAAAGCUUUGGGAGAUAGAAGUCCUCGUUUUGACCUCUGCCCUCCUUGUACACCAGGAGCCAGAAAAACUUCAUCUCUUUUACAAGAAACAUUGAGAUUCCUGUAAAAUUAAGAAAUCACACAAUUUGAUGGUCUACAUUAUCUAAAGCAAAUGAGACUUCUAUUUGGAACAAAGACUACCUUGUUGGGAAAUGAGUCUGCAAGUUAAAGUGUUUUCUGGAUCCAGUAUCUGCCGGAGGAGCCCCACCUUCUGCUACUAUUAUGUUCUUCAGAUGAGUAGAAGAGAGUGGGGAGGGAGAGAGCAGGAAGAAGAAAGGAAGAAUAAUGUCUUGAAAUUGGUAAAAGCGUUUUUGUUUGCACAUCCUGCAUUAUUAAUAUUUCUUGUUUAGCAUAAUUAGCUACCCUCUCAAGCUUACACACAACCUGCAGUGUUUAUGCCUUCCGAUGAUAGCUAAACCAUCAGCAAAGCAGUCCAGGUCCCUGAAGGCUGAAUGCAGGUGGUUCUGAAGGCUGCAGGAUGCAUUCAAAAAGCAGGAUACAUAAGCUUUAAUUGUUGCUAAAAAUACAUUCACUAGAAGAAUCGGACUCCUUCUAUCUGUCUGGAGUGGAUAAAAGCCAACUAUGGAUUCAGUAGUCUAAAGAAAGUCGCAGAAGAACAAAGAAAAGGUAGACAAAUGGGCCCAAAUGAACUUCAUUAAUGAGAAAAAAAGAUAACUAAUAUAAGACAAUACCACUUCUCUUUAUUCAAAUAAUUGGCAGUCAAUUUUACUUGGACAAUAACUAUGGCCUCAAAUGUGAUUUCAGGCUCAACAAAGCAGUGCAAUUUAAGGUCUAUCAUGCCUUGUUGUCAUGCUUCACGCAGCCUGGAAUAAGUAAUUCAAUACCCCUUACAGGAUCACCAGCUAUUAAACCAGGAUAAGAGCUUAGAGGCAGAAUUACACAUUCUAUGAUAUAUUAUUAUUAUAUAAUGUAUUAUUUGUAUUCUAUUAUUACAUGUAUACUUCAGUGGCCUGAGUUAAUAUUUUUCCACCAGCCACUAAUUCCAUACUCAAGAGUUAUUCAUGAAAGAAAAAAA